Molecule: microRNA precursor, 94 nt
Filed under: Ovis aries (sheep)
Lineage: Eukaryota; Metazoa; Chordata; Mammalia; Artiodactyla; Bovidae
Description: miRNA (ENSOARG00000023059.1)
Source: RNAcentral
UUCAAACUGUGAGAAAUGUGUCAGGUUGGCCAAAUAGUUCGUUCGGGUUUGUCCAUAACACCUUAACGAACUUUGUGGCCAACCCAAUAGAAGC